RNAcentral lists this long non-coding RNA (686 nucleotides) under Callithrix jacchus (white-tufted-ear marmoset). Its description in RNAcentral is "lncRNA (ENSCJAG00000084814.1)". Lineage: Eukaryota; Metazoa; Chordata; Mammalia; Primates; Cebidae. The record is from RNAcentral.
AUACGGUCUCCUGCCAGGUCCUGGGGGAGUAGGAGCCAGUGCAAGGAGAGAAGCCCAGUGAAAAAGGCAAAGGGACGGUGUCAGACCCAGGGGCUAAGACCCCCACCUGCAGCUGGGUAACUUCUGGAGUGGACAGGGAGCAGCAGGGAAGGUCGUGGCCUGGUGUUCUGGGGUUCACUGUCUCAUCUCAUUCCUGUGGUUGCCAGAACUUGUCCAAAGGGAAGACUCAGUGUCUCUAGCAACAGCAGGCCAGAGACAGGAAGUGUCCCAGAGAAGCAGGAAGAAUUGUACACCACGGACACGGUAUAUGGUUUUAUAGUAGUGCCUCUCUCUCUCUCACUCAACUAGUUGGCGUGUUCCUGUUACUGGAAAAUAUCAGUGGUGAGAGGAAGAAAAUAACAGGGAUCUUCAUGGAGAAAUGACCCACUUAAGGGUCUGGACUCUCCAGCAGUUACAAGCAGAAGAAACUCCCUGAGGAAGAAUGGAGGAGCUGAAUGCCCAGACUGGGAAGUUUUCUGAAAGGCAGCAAGCCUGAGCUGAGUCCACACCCUGAAAGCCCAGAAGCAAGGGAUCAGAUGGAAGAAAUAAAGCAGGUUUUGGAAAAGAGAAUAACCUGCAAAGACAAGUCAAUGCUAGAACAGAAGCCUGCACUAUCUGGAGCACCGAGGCUGUCUCAAGCUAACUGA